This 285-nucleotide long non-coding RNA is filed under the name Fukomys damarensis (Damara mole-rat). RNAcentral's name for it is "lncRNA (ENSFDAG00000030600.1)". Lineage: Eukaryota; Metazoa; Chordata; Mammalia; Rodentia; Bathyergidae. The record is from RNAcentral.
CAGAUUCUAACUGGAAGCACAGCAUUCUGACAGCAGGUAUGGGCUUCUGCUGGAAAAAAAAAGUCCUGAAAACUUCCCUCCAGGCAGUGGUGCCAACCCAGUCAGCUCCUGCCCUGUUGCUGUUGUGUUCCAUUUGCCAAGAAUACAUUGCGAUUCGGUAAAUGGGAGCUGCCUGCCUACCUGCCUGUCUGCGAUCACCCGGCGGCGUGCGCGUGAGCUCCCGGCCUGCGCGGGAGCUCCCGGCCUGCGCGACAACAGACCCAGGAAGGACCCAAGGACCCCAGA